Molecule: small RNA, 363 nt
Filed under: Pongo abelii (Sumatran orangutan)
Lineage: Eukaryota; Metazoa; Chordata; Mammalia; Primates; Hominidae
Description: retained intron
Source: RNAcentral
UAUUACCGAUACAUUAGAAUUUACGGUACUGAUUUUUUUCCUAUGCGUUGUCUGGUACUUAUUUAUUUUCAUGUAUUUUUUUUAUAUUAUAGGCUCGUUAUAGGAAAGAGCAAACAUUGCUUAAGCAACUGCCUUGCAUUCCAUUGGUAGAAAAUUUGUUGAAGGAUGGGACAGAUGGCUGUGCAUUAGCUGCCCUUAUUCAUUUUUACUGUCCUGAUGUUGUCAGAUUAGAGGAUAUUUGUUUGAAAGAAACUAUGUCUUUGGCUGAUAGCCUGUAUAAUCUGCAGCUGAUUCAAGAAUUUUGCCAAGAAUACUUGAACCAGUGUUGCCAUUUCACUCUGGAAGAUAUGCUCUAUGCUGCUU